GGGUUGUGAGGUUAAGCGACUAAGCGUACACGGUGGAUGCCCUGGCAGUCAGAGGCGAUGAAGGACGUGCUAAUCUGCGAUAAGCGCCGGUAAGGUGAUAUGAACCGUUAUAACCGGCGAUUUCCGAAUGGGGAAACCCAGUGUGACUCGUCACACUAUCAUUAACUGAAUCCAUAGGUUAAUGAGGCGAACCGGGGGAACUGAAACAUCUAAGUACCCCGAGGAAAAGAAAUCAACCGAGAUUCCCCCAGUAGCGGCGAGCGAACGGGGAGGAGCCCAGAGCCUGAAUCAGCAUGUGUGUUAGUGGAAGCGUCUGGAAAGGCGCGCGAUACAGGGUGACAGCCCCGUACACAAAAGCGCAUGUGUUGUGAGCUCGAUGAGUAGGGCGGGACACGUGGUAUCCUGUCUGAAUAUGGGGGGACCAUCCUCCAAGGCUAAAUACUCCUGACUGACCGAUAGUGAACCAGUACCGUGAGGGAAAGGCGAAAAGAACCCCGGCGAGGGGAGUGAAAAAGAACCUGAAACCGUGUACGUACAAGCAGUGGGAGCCCCACCACUAAGCCAGUGGUGAACUCCACAUACGCAUCCUUUGCUGAAGGUGCGGUUAACGGAGCGCAAGCGACGUUCAACCUCAAAAGAAGCAGAGGGGGCUUAGUGGUGGGGUGACUGCGUACCUUUUGUAUAAUGGGUCAGCGACUUAUAU
RNAcentral lists this ribosomal RNA (703 nucleotides) under Salmonella enterica subsp. enterica serovar Kentucky. Its description in RNAcentral is "partial 23S ribosomal RNA". It matches the Rfam family "Bacterial large subunit ribosomal RNA", at positions 1 to 633 of the family's 2925-position model. The record is from RNAcentral. Lineage: Bacteria; Pseudomonadati; Pseudomonadota; Gammaproteobacteria; Enterobacterales; Enterobacteriaceae.